Molecule: ribosomal RNA, 258 nt
Filed under: uncultured bacterium
Lineage: Bacteria
Description: partial 16S ribosomal RNA
Rfam family: Bacterial small subunit ribosomal RNA
Source: RNAcentral
CGGGUGAGUAACAUGUGAGUGACCUGCCUUUUAGACUGGAACAACUUACCGAAAGGUGAGCUAAUGCCGGAUGAGUUAUAUAAGUGCAUGUUUAUAUAGGAAAAGUUGGGGAGACCUGACGCUGAAAGAUGGACUCGCGUCCCAUUAGCUAGUUGGUAGGGUAAUGGCCUACCAAGGCGACGAUGGGUAGCCGGCCUGAGAGGGUGGCCGGCCACACUGGGACUGAGACACGGCCCAGACUCCUACGGAAGGCAGCAG